Molecule: long non-coding RNA, 1080 nt
Organism: Conger conger (European conger)
Lineage: Eukaryota; Metazoa; Chordata; Actinopteri; Anguilliformes; Congridae
Exons: 3
Source: RefSeq, a predicted model, not a curated record
GUAAAAUAGUAUGCCGGGCAGCCGCUCUUUGUUUGAAAGUAGUUGGUGCGACAAACACCGUGGUAAGAGCACUGUUUGCAUAGGGAUUCUGCCGGCGGUGAUCUAAUACGAAGCGGGGUCGCAAGUUGGGCUGGAGCCAAUCCCAGCAAACAUUGGGCGAAAGGCAGGAAUACACCCUGGACAGGUCACCAGUCCAUCACAGGGCACACACACCAUUCACUCACACACUCAUACCUAUGGGCAAUUUAGACUCUCCAAUCAGCCUAAGGGAGCAUGUCUUUGGACUGUGGGAGGAAACCGGAGUACCAGGAGGAAACCAACGCAGACACGGGGAGAACAUGCAAACUCCACACAGAGAGGCCCCAGCUGACGGGGAUUCGAACCCAGGUGUCACGUUUCAGCUAGAUCAGGAUUGGGUAGAAACUAACAAACUAAUCAUGUGUUCAUGUUGCCUUACGUUUCUCGUGCAUGUCAUUUACUAAUUUACUAAGGGCAGGGCAGGAUAGGUUUAUUACUAACGAUUACUAAUCACCUUGUUAAACUUGUCAUCCAUCGCACCUGUUUUCCAUUUCCUUGCUACGCUCUAACUAAUUGUCUACACCUGUCUACACCUGCAUUUAUAUCCCAGUCGCGCUACUGUUCACUGCAAAAUUGUCUGCCUCUUGAACUCCAAAGCAACUCUUGAGCAUUACUGUUAUUGAUUACACGUUACGAUCCAAGCCUGUUUACCGACCAUUAUUUAUUGAUUUCUGUUUCGUUGACCACCGCUUGUUUUUGACCACGUCCUCGCCUACCGUCUUUGUACUUUUGCCUCGCUGAUUGUUUUAUGGUUUUCAACUUCCGCAUCGCCCUCGACUACGACUCUGCCUGCCGUCCGCCUGUACUUCUGCCUCGCUGACAGCUCUCCUGCUACCGGACCUCCCUGCACGUCUACCGACUACGAGUUUGCCUCUUCCCUCGGCACCGUGCUUUUUGUUUGUUUAAUAUUUGUUUGGCUGGAUCUACGUGUAUGGACUUUGCUUGUUGUGACUACGCUCCUGGGAUUCGUCCCAAAUAAAGCCCUGACGGGACUUUACCCUA